ACAGACGGCCAUGGCGUAGAAAGCACGGGAUCCUGUCCGCUUUCUCCUAGUUAACCUAGAAAGCGCCGGAUCAGUACUACGGCGGGUGAUCAUGUAGGAAUCCCCAAUGUUGUAGUCU
This is a non-coding RNA of Ceratocystis platani, 118 nucleotides long. The record is from Rfam. NCBI's taxonomy places the organism in Eukaryota, Fungi, Ascomycota, Sordariomycetes, Microascales, Ceratocystidaceae.